RNAcentral lists this unclassified non-coding RNA (317 nucleotides) under Basidiomycota sp. RNAcentral's name for it is "partial contains small subunit ribosomal RNA, internal transcribed spacer 1, and 5.8S ribosomal RNA". The stretch from base 1 to 47 matches the Rfam family "Eukaryotic small subunit ribosomal RNA", at positions 1785 to 1831 of the family's 1831-position model. The record is from RNAcentral. Lineage: Eukaryota; Fungi; Basidiomycota.
AAAGUCGUAACAAGGUUUUCGUAGGUGAACCUGCGGAAGGAUCAUUAGUGAAUUUAAACAAACCGAGUUCUCCUUUUGCAUUAAGUUGUAUUAAGGGUUCUCAAUUAUUUCACAAACACUGUGCACCUGUUUAUCAUUUUGAAACUUUGACUGAGUUUGCUUGAAGUUUGAUGACUUUCGGGAAAUCUUACUUAGAACAAGGUUGGGUGGAGAUUUGACUAACUUUUAACACUUUUGAUAAUUUAUAACUGUUGUUGAUGAUAAUACAAUUUGAAAAAUGAAAGUAAAAACUUUCAGCAAUGGAUCUCUUGGCUCUC